UACGUAGGGUGCAAGCGUUGUCCGGAAUUAUUGGGCGUAAAGAGCUCGUAGGCGGUUUGUCGCGUCUGCUGUGAAAACUCGGGGCUCAACUCCGAGCUUGCAGUGGGUACGGGCAGACUAGAGUGCGGUAGGGGAGACUGGAAUUCCUGGUGUAGCGGUGGAAUGCGCAGAUAUCAGGAGGAACACCGGUGGCUAAGGCGGGUCUCUGGGCCGUAACUGACGCUGAGGAGCGAAAGCAUGGGGAGCGAACAGG
This 253-nucleotide ribosomal RNA is filed under the name uncultured bacterium. RNAcentral describes it as "partial 16S ribosomal RNA". It matches the Rfam family "Bacterial small subunit ribosomal RNA", at positions 524 to 776 of the family's 1533-position model. The record is from RNAcentral.